AAACACAUGCAAGUCGAGCGGUAGCACAGAGAGCUUGCUCUCGGGUGACGAGCGGCGGACGGGUGAGUAAUGUCUGGGAAACUGCCUGAUGGAGGGGGAUAACUACUGGAAACGGUAGCUAAUACCGCAUAAUGUCGCAAGACCAAAGUGGGGGACCUUCGGGCCUCAUGCCAUCAGAUGUGCCCAGAUGGGAUUAGCUAGUAGGUGGGGUAACGGCUCACCUAGGCGACGAUCCCUAGCUGGUCUGAGAGGAUGACCAGCCACACUGGAACUGAGACACGGUCCAGACUCCUACGGGAGGCAGCAGUGGGGAAUAUUGCACAAUGGGCGCAAGCCUGAUGCAGCCAUGCCGCGUGUGUGAAGAAGGCCUUCGGGUUGUAAAGCACUUUCAGCGGGGAGGAAGGCGGUGAGGUUAAUAACCUC
This 423-nucleotide ribosomal RNA is filed under the name Pseudomonas aeruginosa. RNAcentral's name for it is "bacterial SSU rRNA". It matches the Rfam family "Bacterial small subunit ribosomal RNA", at positions 49 to 469 of the family's 1533-position model. Lineage: Bacteria; Pseudomonadati; Pseudomonadota; Gammaproteobacteria; Pseudomonadales; Pseudomonadaceae. The record is from RNAcentral.